This 1001-nucleotide long non-coding RNA is filed under the name Dromaius novaehollandiae (emu). Its description in RNAcentral is "lncRNA (ENSDNVG00000015993.1)". Lineage: Eukaryota; Metazoa; Chordata; Aves; Casuariiformes; Dromaiidae. The record is from RNAcentral.
GCGCCCUGGGGACUGUGCAGGCGGCCCAGAAUUAUGCCGGGGGUAAAAGGAGGAGGCUGCAAAUGCCCCCCAUGGGGAGGGCAAAGGCUCCUUGCGCCGCCCUUGCAGCGCCUUCCAAGCCGAGAGGAGCUCGGAGCCCGCACCUCGGGACUCGCCUGCCGCUCGCUCCGCGCGUGUGCGUGUGUGUGCGUGUGUCGGGGGGGAGCGUCCUCUGCGGGUAUGCCGUAGCCUGCUGUGUCCGUGCCUGGCUUCUGUCUGAAGGCAUCCUCGAAGUACUGUCUCUGGCCUCCACACGACCCGCGGGCAAGGCAGAAGGGGAACAGCUUACUCUCCGUCCUCCUUCAUGCUCUGAACUUGAAAGAAAAGCGUCGGUGCGGUUUUAUUCUGUGAAGUCGGUGCCUCCAAAAGCAAUGUAUGCUUCCAUCCAAAUAAAUAAAUCCGAGUAAACUCCACUUUCUGAAUUGUGCCUCCCCUUUCCAGGCUGAACUCAAGCGUCUUUUCUAACUUGCGAAAUCCGUCUGUCUCUCUGCCUGCCUAUCUAUCCAUCCGUCUGUCCGUCUGUCUGUCUCUGGGGCUGGGCGUUCUGGGAGAUGCAGCAUUAAUCAAAUCAAUGAGUAUUCAAAUAUGUGUCCAUUCCUUUACCUGUUCCGCCCCCCCUUCCCCCGAUCAGUUUCUUAUUUAAGUAAUGAAACAAAGAAAGGCCGGUCUCCUUCCCGAAUAGCUCGGGCCCCCACGCCAAAACCAAAACACAGGAGUCAAAAUUCAGAGUGUUUCUGUGAAGAAAUAUAUUCGUAUUUAUGUUUAUUUAUACGGUCACAAAGCCUUAAAAAGCUUUCGAGCCGCGCCAGCGAGUAAACCAGAAGUGCCAAGCCCUGUAUUUUGUGAAAAGAGAUAAAAUUCAUCUGCCAUCAGGCGCAUUCGAAAUAGGUUACCGGUUUGUUGCUGGUUCUUUUUUUUCCUUCAAAAAUAAACAUGAUCCGAUUUCUGAAAUGGUUAUGUUU